RNAcentral lists this transfer RNA (88 nucleotides) under Firmicutes bacterium HGW-Firmicutes-1. RNAcentral's name for it is "tRNA-Ser". It matches the Rfam family "tRNA". From Rfam's summary of the family: Transfer RNA (tRNA) molecules are approximately 80 nucleotides in length. Their secondary structure includes four short double-helical elements and three loops (D, anti-codon, and T loops). The record is from RNAcentral. Lineage: Bacteria; Bacillati; Bacillota.
GGAGAGAUGUCCGAGCGGCUUAUGGUGACAGUCUCGAAAACUGUUGUGGGUUUAUAGCCCACCUGGGGUUCAAAUCCCCAUCUCUCCG